Molecule: non-coding RNA, 21 nt
Filed under: Caenorhabditis elegans
Lineage: Eukaryota; Metazoa; Nematoda; Chromadorea; Rhabditida; Rhabditidae
Source: RNAcentral
UAAUUUUUUUUUAUUAAUUGG